Molecule: ribosomal RNA, 1833 nt
Filed under: Shigella sonnei
Lineage: Bacteria; Pseudomonadati; Pseudomonadota; Gammaproteobacteria; Enterobacterales; Enterobacteriaceae
Description: partial 23S ribosomal RNA
Rfam family: Bacterial large subunit ribosomal RNA
Source: RNAcentral
UGGAAAGGCGUGCGAUACAGGGUGACAGCCCCGUACACAAAAAUGCACAUAUUGUGAGCUUGAUGAGUAGGGCGGGACACGUGGUAUCCUGUCUGAAUAUGGGGGGACCAUCCUCCAAGGCUAAAUACUCCUGACUGACCGAUAGUGAACCAGUACCGUGAGGGAAAGGCGAAAAGAACCCCGGCGAGGGGAGUGAAAAAGAACCUGAAACCGUGUACGUACAAGCAGUGGGAGCACGCUUAGGCGUGUGACUGCGUACCUUUUGUAUAAUGGGUCAGCGACUUAUAUUCUGUAGCAAGGUUAACCGAAUAGGGGAGCCGAAGGGAAACCGAGUCUUAACUGGGCGUUAAGUUGCAGGGUAUAGACCCGAAACCCGGUGAUCUAGCCAUGGGCAGGUUGAAGGUUGGGUAACACUAACUGGAGGACCGAACCGACUAAUGUUGAAAAAUUAGCGGAUGACUUGUGGCUGGGGGUGAAAGGCCAAUCAAACCGGGAGAUAGCUGGUUCUCCCCGAAAGCUAUUUAGGUAGCGCCUCGUGAAUUCAUCUCCGGGGGUAGAGCACUGUUUCGGCAAGGGGGUCAUCCCGACUUACCAACCCGAUGCAAACUGCGAAUACCGGAGAAUGUUAUCACGGGAGACACACGGCGGGUGCUAACGUCCGUCGUGAAGAGGGAAACAACCCAGACCGCCAGCUAAGGUCCCAAAGUCAUGGUUAAGUGGGAAACGAUGUGGGAAGGCCCAGACAGCCAGGAUGUUGGCUUAGAAGCAGCCAUCAUUUAAAGAAAGCGUAAUAGCUCACUGGUCGAGUCGGCCUGCGCGGAAGAUGUAACGGGGCUAAACCAUGCACCGAAGCUGCGGCAGCGACGCUUAUGCGUUGUUGGGUAGGGGAGCGUUCUGUAAGCCUGCGAAGGUGUGCUGUGAGGCAUGCUGGAGGUAUCAGAAGUGCGAAUGCUGACAUAAGUAACGAUAAAGCGGGUGAAAAGCCCGCUCGCCGGAAGACCAAGGGUUCCUGUCCAACGUUAAUCGGGGCAGGGUGAGUCGACCCCUAAGGCGAGGCCGAAAGGCGUAGUCGAUGGGAAACAGGUUAAUAUUCCUGUACUUGGUGUUACUGCGAAGGGGGGACGGAGAAGGCUAUGUUGGCCGGGCGACGGUUGUCCCGGUUUAAGCGUGUAGGCUGGUUUUCCAGGCAAAUCCGGAAAAUCAAGGCUGAGGCGUGAUGACGAGGCACUACGGUGCUGAAGCAACAAAUGCCCUGCUUCCAGGAAAAGCCUCUAAGCAUCAGGUAACAUCAAAUCGUACCCCAAACCGACACAGGUGGUCAGGUAGAGAAUACCAAGGCGCUUGAGAGAACUCGGGUGAAGGAACUAGGCAAAAUGGUGCCGUAACUUCGGGAGAAGGCACGCUGAUAUGUAGGUGAAGUCCCUUGCGGAUGGAGCUGAAAUCAGUCGAAGAUACCAGCUGGCUGCAACUGUUUAUUAAAAACACAGCACUGUGCAAACACGAAAGUGGACGUAUACGGUGUGACGCCUGCCCGGUGCCGGAAGGUUAAUUGAUGGGGUCAGCGCAAGCGAAGCUCUUGAUCGAAGCCCCGGUAAACGGCGGCCGUAACUAUAACGGUCCUAAGGUAGCGAAAUUCCUUGUCGGGUAAGUUCCGACCUGCACGAAUGGCGUAAUGAUGGCCAGGCUGUCUCCACCCGAGACUCAGUGAAAUUGAACUCGCUGUGAAGAUGCAGUGUACCCGCGGCAAGACGGAAAGACCCCGUGAACCUUUACUAUAGCUUGACACUGAACAUUGAGCCUUGAUGUGUAGGAUAGGUGGGAGGCUUUGAAGUG